This 595-nucleotide ribosomal RNA is filed under the name Salmonella enterica. RNAcentral describes it as "partial 23S ribosomal RNA". It matches the Rfam family "Bacterial large subunit ribosomal RNA", at positions 594 to 1190 of the family's 2925-position model. The record is from RNAcentral. RNAcentral also lists the same sequence under 1 other name. Lineage: Bacteria; Pseudomonadati; Pseudomonadota; Gammaproteobacteria; Enterobacterales; Enterobacteriaceae.
UGACUGCGUACCUUUUGUAUAAUGGGUCAGCGACUUAUAUUCUGUAGCAAGGUUAACCGUAUAGGGGAGCCGGAGGGAAACCGAGUCUUAACCGGGCGUUAAGUUGCAGGGUAUAGACCCGAAACCCGGUGAUCUAGCCAUGGGCAGGUUGAAGGUUGGGUAACACUAACUGGAGGACCGAACCGACUAAUGUUGAAAAAUUAGCGGAUGACCUGUGGCUGGGGGUGAAAGGCCAAUCAAACCGGGAGAUAGCUGGUUCUCCCCGAAAGCUAUUUAGGUAGCGCCUCGUGAAUUCAUCUCCGGGGGUAGAGCACUGUUUCGGCUAGGGGGCCAUCCCGGCUUACCAACCCGAUGCAAACUGCGAAUACCGGAGAAUGUUAUCACGGGAGACACACGGCGGGUGCUAACGUCCGUCGUGAAGAGGGAAACAACCCAGACCGCCAGCUAAGGUCCCAAAGUCAUGGUUAAGUGGGAAACGAUGUGGGAAGGCCCAGACAGCCAGGAUGUUGGCUUAGAAGCAGCCAUCAUUUAAAGAAAGCGUAAUAGCUCACUGGUCGAGUCGGCCUGCGCGGAAGAUGUAACGGGGCUAAACCAU